CGGAGGGUGCAAGCGUUAUCCGGAUUUACUGGGUUUAAAGGGAGCGCAGGCGGACUGGUAAGUCAGUGGUGAAAGCCUUGAGCUUAACUCGAGAACUGCCAUUGAUACUAUCAGUCUUGAAUGUUGUUGAGGUUUGCGGAAUGGGUCAUGUAGCGGUGAAAUGCAUAGAUAUGACCCGGAACACCUAUUGCGAAGGCAGCAGGCUAAACAAAUAUUGACGCUGAGGCUCGAAAGCGUGGGGAUCAAACAGGAUUAGAUACCCUGGUAGUCCACGCCCUAAACUAUGAUUACUCGACAUACGUGAUAUGACAAUGUGUGUCUGAGCGAAAGCAUUAAGUAAUCCACCUGGGAAGUACGACCGCAAGGUUG
RNAcentral lists this ribosomal RNA (369 nucleotides) under uncultured organism. RNAcentral's name for it is "bacterial SSU rRNA". It matches the Rfam family "Bacterial small subunit ribosomal RNA", at positions 526 to 896 of the family's 1533-position model. The record is from RNAcentral.